GCUCGUCGCAGGUGUCACGGCCCUGGCCCCAGGUUCCUCCGCGGGCGGUUUCCCUGGGAACCAGCGCGAGCCGGAGCUGCGCUCUGUUUCGCCGGGCCCGAGAGGCGGCCUCAGGUUAACUUCAAGCAUGUUGGGCUCUCCAGGAGGGAGAAGAGGCACCUUUGCCGUGGGUGGAGGACUCCUAGAACCAACCUGAGACUCCGCGGCCAUAUACACCUUACGACGUGUGUGUGUGUGGCGGGGGAUGGGAGGGGAGGAAUCCUGUAGAACCCAGAUCCCAUCAUUCCAGCAACUGCCAGAGCGUUCGAGAAUGUCAUGUCUGUACCUGUCUUCUCUCAUCUUUUCUGCCAACUGUUUUAUCAAACUUCUACCCCACUUUAGGUCUUCCAGUAGAUACCUGAAACCCUGAACUACAAUAUAUGUGAAAUACAGUGAAUGGCAGAAAUACUUCGAUAAAAGAUGUAAAUGCCUACGGACUGCAGAAGACAACAUCAACAAAGCACACUUCACAAAAAGUACAACACAAAUAUACUGCCCAGGUUCUAAAACAUGUAUAAGAGUUAACAAAAUCAGCUGAGGUUGAGCAGAAAUUGUAUAGGAAAAAAUAGGAAAAACACAGAGACCAAUCUCAGCUGCAAGAAGGUUCAGCUAGACGCUGCAAGCAAAAGUAUAACUCCUGAAGCUUUUCCAGAGGUGUCCUGCAUGCUGAGUGGACAUGUCUGCCAAGCAUCUGCUAUGUCUUUGCCAGGUCCCUUGUGAAAUGGUGCUCUUAAGACUUCUCAACAGAAUACGACCAAAUAAUUAAGACUGCAGGGAGCAAGUGCAGACACCGGGAGACCUGUGGGAAGCUGCUGGAGUGACCCCGGAAAACCACGAUGCGGGUUCUGAAGAGGCAGGGGCAGUGGAGAUAGCUCCCUAUCUGUGCAAUAGUGAGAUGACAGAUUCUGAGUAUAUGUUCAAGGUGGAAACAAUACGAUUUGCUGAAAGAUUGGAUUGCAGUGUGAGAGAAAGAGAGGAGCUGAAGAUGACUUCAAGGUUCUAGACCUUUUGGAAGGAAGGAAUGUUCAUCAACAGAGAUGGGAAAGGUUACAGAUGGAGCAUGUUAGUGGGAAAAGGCCAGGAGUUCCAUUUUGGGCAUGUUGGGUUUGAGAUGUCUAUGGAAAUAUUA
Gorilla gorilla gorilla (western lowland gorilla) is the source of this 1168-nucleotide long non-coding RNA. RefSeq lists it as uncharacterized. The record is from RefSeq and is a predicted model, not a curated record. NCBI's taxonomy places the organism in Eukaryota, Metazoa, Chordata, Mammalia, Primates, Hominidae. The transcript has 5 exons.